CCCUAAAAAUAACACAACGUUUUACGACCUCUUCGUUCAUUCAUUGAGUCCAAAAAGUGCAGCUCAGCUUGCUAUCACAUGUCCAUGUGUGCGUGGACUGUAACUCCGGGGGCUCGUGUCCCGCCGAGGAGGUGAACGCCCAGUAGGGCGCCCAGCGGCGACCACAGUCCGCACCGAUGCCUCUGACGCCCCAAACUGUUGAUUCAGUCAUCCAGGAGUCAACAGUUCCCACCAGAGGGGGGGGGGGGGGCGGCAGGAUGGAGGGACGGGGGAGAGGAAGUGCAAUGGUGUCGAACGAUUGCAUGGGGCCCGAGCCGGUGACCCGCCGUAGUGAUUUGAACGCUGGCAGACGUUUGCGUUUGUGAACGAUGCAAAGUUAUGAGCCAAUAAGGUCUGUUGCAUGUGCAUGAACGGGUCUGUAGCUUCCGCUCACUCGCACAUCUUAAGGUGUCAGAGCCGUCUGAUCACUAACAGUGGGAUGUUUCCUUCGCAGUGCGAUCGUCUUGCAAGGAAACGUCUCACACUUCUCUGCGGCACGGUCCGCGGGACGGCGUGACGGAGAGUUCGACACCUUUUUGCUUUGCUGGAUUGUCGAGAUGCACGUUAACGUUGUGAAUCCGUCUACAACAAGUAUUGUUUGUAGUGGUGUUGAUUUUUACUGCACUUCUCCUUUCACCUUUCACAUCUGCUCUUUCCUCUCUUUCCCCUCCUGGCCUGUUUGGUCCUGUCCUCAGUAUGCGCUGUGUGUGUGUGUGUGUGUGUGUGUGUGUGUGUGUGUUGACUUUCAACCUGGCUCAGCGUCACGGUGCCCACCAGCAGCUGUCUGCGCAACGUGUCAUUAUGUGGAUUACGCUCCUCCGGGCUCCACCUUAAUGAGAGGGAGGCGAUGAAAGGCAGCAUCUUGAUGGCGCUGGCCUCCACCAUCGGACACACGGCGCGCACACACACACACGCACACACACACACACAAAAACUCUCCCCCACGCAAUCGCAAGAGGGCAUCUUCCUCUUCAGCCAAGCGCCUGUUUAUGUCAGACCUUCACUGUGGGAAAAGCAAUGAGUGGAGGCUGGUGUGUUGACGCACUAUCCAUAGCGGUUUGCAUGUCAUUAUGUGCGGGCGUUUCAGAGCGCCGUGCUCCCCGAGGCGUUACACUUGUUUGUGGUCAAGAGCGACGGAUAAAAGAAAAAAAUGGCGGCCCGCCACACAUCUCGGUCUGGUGUUUCACAUCGGCUCGUUCCACGGCCGUCACGAACGCCGGCGAGGGCUUGUGUUUUUACUUGGUGCCUGUGGGACAGUUCAGGCUCGAAGACGUUCCGUCUAAAACUACUGGAGGUGUUUGUAUUGUGUGUAUAUUAUAAGGCUUCAGGAGUAACGUGUUCACCCAUCCAUUAAAUAAAUAUAUACAUGAAUACAAGAACCUCAAUGUGCCGUCAAUCCUCAAGAUCCAGCUGUUACAUUGUGCUCACCAGAUGUGAAGCAGAUGUGUAACACAUCACUGAAACAUGUGCAGUCCAAUGCAGUCAUUUCCCUCAGAGAAGAUUUCUGUUUGCUAACGCACACAAAUAUUUCAUGUUCAUAAAGACACGAGAGGCUAGUGUUAGUGUGUUGUUUUUGUGUACAUUAGAAGUGUCAGUGUGUUGUUUUUGUGUACAUUAGAAGUGUCAGUGUGUUGUUUUUGUGUACAUUAGAAGUGUUAGUGUGUGGUUUUUGUGUACAUUAGAAGCGUUAGUGUGUUGUUGUUGUGUACAUUAGAAGUGUCAGUGUGUUGUUGUUGUGUACAUUAAAAGCGUCAGUGUGUUGUUUUUGUGUAGAAGCGUCAGCGUGUUGUUUUUGUGUAGAAGUGUCAGUGUGUUGUUUUUGUUUAGAAGUGUCAGUGUGUUGUUUUUGUGUAGAAAUGUCAGUGUUGUGUUGUUGUGUACAUUAGAAGUGUUAGUGUGUUGUUUUUGUGUACAUUAGAAGUGUCAGUGUGUUGUUGUUGUGUACAUUAGAAGUGUUAGUGUGUUGUUUUUGUGUACAUUAGAAGUGUUAGUGGGUUGUUGUUGUGUACAUUAGAAGUGUUAUUGUGUUGUUUGUGUUGUCUUGUCUAUUAUUAGGAGUAUAAACAGGAUGCCGUGUCGUGAUGAGGACGGAUUUAUUUGUGUGUUCUGCUGACAAUCACAACGUGUGAUCUUCUCACCAGCGUUCAGCGGAGACGACGUGACGAUGAAAUCACAGCCGAUGAUGGAGUCUGACGUCUCUUCGCGUCUCCAUCAGCUGGGGCUCUUCUUCGCGUUCACCAGCGUGAACGCUGUUAACGCUGCGACCCGAAGUUCCAGAGCGUCGAUUCAAUGAAGAUGGAAAAUAUCAGAGAGGCCACGAGCGGAACGUUUCUCCUUCUUCUCGCACGGCCACUUGUUGCACUGAAGGAUUUAAUACAUCCAUCGAUGUGUUUAGUAAGUGUCUGUUUCGUAACGCUCGACCCAACAGGGAGGGACGCACGCCUGAAGGAAGGUCAAUGGGGGAGGCGAGGGGGGAGUCG
Gasterosteus aculeatus aculeatus (three-spined stickleback) is the source of this 2519-nucleotide long non-coding RNA. NCBI's taxonomy places the organism in Eukaryota, Metazoa, Chordata, Actinopteri, Perciformes, Gasterosteidae. The record is from Ensembl.